RNAcentral lists this ribosomal RNA (253 nucleotides) under uncultured bacterium. RNAcentral describes it as "partial 16S ribosomal RNA". It matches the Rfam family "Bacterial small subunit ribosomal RNA", at positions 524 to 776 of the family's 1533-position model. The record is from RNAcentral.
UACGAAGGGGGCUAGCGUUGCUCGGAAUCACUGGGCGUAAAGGGUGCGUAGGCGGGUCUUUAAGUCAGGGGUGAAAUCCUGGAGCUCAACUCCAGAACUGCCUUUGAUACUGGAGAGCUUGAGUCCGGGAGAGGUGAGUGGAACUCCGAGUGUAGAGGUGAAAUUCGUAGAUAUUAGGAAGAACACCAGUGGCGAAGGCGGCUCACUGGCCCGGUACUGACGCUGAGGUACGAAAGCGUGGGGAGCAAACAGG